AAACCUUCCCAAGUCGUUUGAGGGGNUCCCAAGUAGCACGGGGCCCNNGAAAUCCUGUGUUAAUCUGCCAGGACCACCUGGUAAGCCUAAAUACUCCCUGAUGACCCAUAGCGGA
This 115-nucleotide ribosomal RNA is filed under the name Actinomycetales. RNAcentral describes it as "partial 23S ribosomal RNA". It matches the Rfam family "Bacterial large subunit ribosomal RNA", at positions 380 to 494 of the family's 2925-position model. The record is from RNAcentral. Lineage: Bacteria; Bacillati; Actinomycetota; Actinomycetes.